UGCGUAGGCGGCGUUUUAAGUCAGUGGUGAAAACCUGCAGCUCAACUGUAGAACUGCCAUUGAAACUGAAGUGCUUGAGUUAUCUUGAAGUAGGCGGAAUGUGUAGUGUAGCGGUGAAAUGCUUAGAUAUUACACAGAACACCGAUUGCGAAGGCAGCUUACUAAGGGUAAACUGACGCUGAUGCACGAAAGCGUGGGGAUCGAACAGGAUUAGAUACCCUGGUAGUCCACGCCGUAAACGAUGAUGACUCGCUGUUGGCGAUACACAGUCAGCGGCUUAGCGAAAGCGUUAAGUCAUCCACCUGGGGAGUACGCUCGCAAGAGUGAA
RNAcentral lists this ribosomal RNA (328 nucleotides) under uncultured bacterium. Its description in RNAcentral is "bacterial SSU rRNA". It matches the Rfam family "Bacterial small subunit ribosomal RNA", at positions 568 to 898 of the family's 1533-position model. The record is from RNAcentral.